This is a long non-coding RNA of Siniperca chuatsi (mandarin fish), 3574 nucleotides long. RefSeq lists it as uncharacterized. The record is from RefSeq and is a predicted model, not a curated record. Lineage: Eukaryota; Metazoa; Chordata; Actinopteri; Centrarchiformes; Sinipercidae. The transcript has 4 exons.
GAGAGAGUAACAAAGAGAGGGAGAGGGAGUGAGGCUGGUGUGGAAUGGAGCUGAUAAGGGGAGAGAGACAGAGGCUGAGACAAACUGAGCAGAGAGAUAGAGGAAGACAUAUAAAAAAGGUGCAGUCCACGCGGGGGGAAACGUGCCUCUGUUAUUACGUGAACGAAACGUGAUCUCCAUGACGACUGAGCAAAUUGCUGAAGGCUACAAGAUCCGACUAAAAGCUCCAGAAGAAGUCCACGGCCUGUCCCACUCUCUCCACACGGAGGAACUCUAUUUGCCCAGACUUGUUGCAGUCACCUGAAACUAGCCAUGUGCAUAACACAGCAGAAGACUGUCCAUCCAACCCCUGCAGCACUGUGAUGUGUAGGCUGUGGUUGCAAGUGGCUGAUGUCAUGGGCAUCUAAUUUGCAUGUGCUCUUGCAUUGCUUCUGUUCCUGUGUUCAGCAGUGUGAGGUCCUACACAACUUAAGCUGCCAGUAUGCUUCUUCAGAAGUGCUAGUUGGACAGUCAAAUACUUUCAGAGCCCCCCCUCGCACACACACACACACCUUUCAGCCGCUGGAUUUGGGGGGGCCGUGUCCGACCAUUUCUGUAACUUAACCAAACCGACGAUCCGACAUUCACACCCACUUCACGCUGACUGGUCAGCUGAGUGCAGGUGAGAAAGGAGCCAGGGUUUGAACUUCUGUCAGCUCUCUGUUUUCAUUCUUCACACAACAAUUCCUGUCUCUUUUCAUGUGAACAACCGAGUGCAACACCAUGAAUGUCUUCCAGGAGAAGCUGUCUGAAAAUGUGCACCAUUAUCCUCAUAUUCAAACAAUAUCACGUCCCCAACCAAAGAAAAAGCAAAUCAUAAUGACGCACAUGAUUUAUGCAGCAGUUAAGCAACCAAGAGGGACUUUGGUUUAAGAACCGAUAGAUGCUUUCUGGCGAUGAAACUGAACCCACGACCUUGAAACAGGAAGCAACUUCCAAAACAAGAAUAAUCAUUUCUGCCUCAUUCCGUUGCCACAGAAGAGUGGUGGGCGAUGAUUUUGACCCAACGGCACUCGGCAUCAAUCUGAAUCAAAGGAGGAGAAGUUGUGGGCAGUCCACACUGUCUGUUUUGUACUGCUGCUCCAUUCUGCGCUGCCAGAUUGGACGGGGGGAAAGAUGGUAGGAACAGAAGAUAAUUGGAGAGUGGAUGAAAGGGAGAGGCAUGCAGGGGGAAGGAGAGACACAGAUAAAGGGAGACAGAGCGGUCGAGAGGUUGAGAUGAAGUGAGCGAAAAAAGUGAGGGGGGGGGUAGAGGGGUUGGCGAGAGAGAAAGAGGCUAAACAAAGAGUUACUUGACAGGAAGAGAGUAACAGGGAGGUGCACAAUGUGUUCGAACGUGAGGAGAGGGAGAAACAGAGAGGCAGAGUCCAAAUGAAAAGGAGAAUAAUGGAGAGGGAAGAGCAGGAGGAGAGGAAGAUGCUUUCUGGUGAUGAAUGUGAGAGGCACUUGAACACAACUGCCUGUUGUUCUGAAAGAGACAGUUCCCCCCUCUGCUCUCGCCUCUGUCCCCAUGUCCCUCAUGAGCUAUUGAUUUAAAAUAAAUAUGUCCAUUUUUAAAUAAUCCUGUAUUGUUGGGAAAUUGAUUGAAUCUCUGUAUUUUCUUUGCUGGAGGAUAAAUUCCUGCAUCGUGCACUUUCUUCUUUAUCUGGUCAACCAUGGUAGCUGUCGCUGCUUGUGCUAGUCGCUCUUCUUGGUCACUGCAUGGCUGCUGGAAAAUAAAAUGGAUUCAUGUCCUGUGCACCAUGAGGAUUAUUCCCGAGAAAGAUAAACGAGACGCUGAGUGUGUUAAAGCUUUUGAGAACUGGUCAUGCAGCCAUGGGAAUUACAUCCAUACCGGCCGAUUAACAUCCAAUGCUAACAUCCAGUGCUCAUGCAGGAAGUAGUCGUCCCGAUGUAGCGAGGUGGAAAGUAAAGGUUUGGAGUUGGUGUUGGACGGGCAGGAAGCACGUCGGACUUUCAUGCAGGAGACCAGUUGUGUCCCAGCCCUGCUAUUAAUGUUCACCUUUUUAUUAACUGUAACCACAGUCGUUCCCUAAGCUUAACCAUAUUAUAUUUGCCAUGUGCAGAUACUAUAGGAAGCAACAAUAAAAACAAAAAAAAAAACUAAAAAUUGUCAUUGGCCAUAAUUUGGGGUUUGCUGAAGUGUCUACAUGGUGAUAUCACAACAUUUUCCCUGGUUUUCCUGGACACCUCUUCCCUCCUUGAAGCUGUGGUUUUUCAGGUGAUCUCCUCAAACUAUUUUCUACUUUUUUCACGGCGCACCCUGCAACGACCCUGGCUCCGCCCAAACGCUAGUAUGUGCAUCCUUUUUUUAAGAAGCAUUUCCCAUGAGUAAACUUUAGUCUUUUACUGGGGCUGCUGGGAUACAGCUACUACACACAUACACAUAAUCGCAUUAACGUAUAAGCAGUGCUUCUACGUCUACAUGUAUGUAAUCUGCCAUGCGAGUCCUAGAUGUUUAGUUGCUUUACACCUGAGAGUGAUGGGUGGACAGAAUUUGCCGGCUCGCUUUGCGCUGCCUCGUUUGCAUGAACCUCCCACCUGUUUCCGCCUCUCCUCCCACCUGUGCACCGUGCGCUCUGCGCUGGACACCAAAACACCACACAGCUGGGCUACCAAACAAAAACAGGGCCCUUAGUCUUGUUUUUCAUUCUCUCUCUCACAGACACUCACACACUGAUCUCGACACUGAUUGAUUGAUUGAUUGAUCCCACCCUUGGGAAUCUUUGCUUGGGAGUUAAGUAAAGGAACAGCAGGAACAUAAACACUGACAGUCACAGAAGCAAGCCCAUUUAAAACACUUUAGAAAGCCAGCAUGUGGUGUGGUGAAAGGUCAGCAGCUCCAUCACUGGAUGUAUACAUGUGCACAGGGAAAAGCCAAAAGUUCAGCUUUUUGUCGAUCUUGUUUAGUAUCUUGUUUCUUACAGUACUUAGCCAUUUCAAUGGUAAACUUUACCUUUAAAAGUCAAGUUUAGCUUCCAACAAGCAACUAUGAAACAUAGUUCAACUAGAAUGCACACAUACAGUAAAGUGAACUCAAACCCUGCCACUGUGUACUGCCUGUUUCCCUGCCUGCUCACUGCCUGCCUCUCUGUAUAUCUACAUGUCCAUGACCCCUGUUUGUUUGUCCAUGUGUCAGUACUGUGCAUCUCAUGUCCAGGUGUACUGUGUGUGUUUCUGCUUCUCAAGAAAAUGUGUCAAAGAGGUUUUAGGGGAAACUCCGAUCAAAGCAGAGACAGAAGGGAAAGUAACAUGACAACAGAGAGAGAGUCUCUGUCCUCCUCUCUCUCUCUUUCACUACUUUGAUCAAUAAACCUCUACUGUAUGUGCAUAAAUUAUUUCCUGUGACAGCAUGCAGCCCACGUUCCCAUUUGUUUCUUGAUAAAAGACAUAUGACAUGUUGUGGAAACUGAAUGCUUGCCUUGUUCUGUGAGUUGAAAUUAGCACCACUCUUUUGUUUAAUUAACUAGAUCAUUUUAAUUAUUUUUCUUCUAAUUCAUCUCAUAAGUCUCAGAUCUUAAUCUUAACAGGGGGA